This 731-nucleotide long non-coding RNA is filed under the name Medicago truncatula (barrel medic). RNAcentral describes it as "long non-coding RNA (MTRU_LNC001533)". The record is from RNAcentral. Lineage: Eukaryota; Viridiplantae; Streptophyta; Magnoliopsida; Fabales; Fabaceae.
UUUGAUCUGUAGUUGACUGCUUGUUUGAUCCACAGAAAAACAUGUUACAAAAUUGACUUUAUUUUCUUUUUUGCAUAAAACUAGGCCAUUGGGUUGGUAGCAGUGGUGCAAACACAAUGGAGGUUAAUGAUAAUUCUCUGUGUAAAAUAUGUCAUGAAUUCGUUGGUUCAAUUUCUCAAGAACUCGAGAUUUCAAGUGUGGAUGAUUUGUGAACUAAGAUGUCAUAGAACUUUAGUAUUAUUGUUGAUCCUGUUUGUCAGUCACAUAAUGCUCUGGUCAGCUAUCUCAAUUGGAAAUAUUUCCUUUUUGAAACAUUUAUUGAAUAUUUUUUAUGAUUGUGUAUCAACAAACUUUUUUUUUGGGUUGUAGUUUUUUUCCGGAAGAGGUUCUGAUUCAAUUUGAGAAACGGAAAAAAACGUCAAUUAUUUUAAUGGAUCUCGACACUAUGGCAGUUUACAUGUCCACUAUUUUUGCGUCAAAAUAUGAUAAAAAGAAGAAAUGCAUAUUUCAAUUUGCAUAAGGAAGACAACAUUUGUUGUAUUCUUGAAUUUGCUUUGAAUAGCUUGUUUGUUGAGAUAGCUAGAGGACCUUCGUAAAGUUGAGAGAAAAUUAAAAUAUUUCAUAUUUUAGUGGAUGUUUUUCUAUUGUUUUUAUGUCUACUUUUUGAAUCAUAUGCAUUAUGCAUUAUAAAUAGAAUCUGGUGAAUAUGUCCUUUGUUUUUUUAGCUUUGA